UAAAGCGCGCGUAGGUGGUUUGUUAAGUUGGAUGUGAAAUCCCCGGGCUCAACCUGGGAACUGCAUCCAAAACUGGCAAGCUAGAGUAUGGUAGAGGGUGGUGGAAUUUCCUGUGUAGCGGUGAAAUGCGUAGAUAUAGGAAGGAACACCAGUGGCGAAGGCGACCACCUGGACUGAUACUGACACUGAGGUGCGAAAGCGUGGGGAGCAAACAGGAUUAGAUACCCAGU
This 230-nucleotide ribosomal RNA is filed under the name uncultured bacterium. RNAcentral describes it as "partial 16S ribosomal RNA". It matches the Rfam family "Bacterial small subunit ribosomal RNA", at positions 561 to 790 of the family's 1533-position model. The record is from RNAcentral.